Molecule: long non-coding RNA, 2160 nt
Filed under: Citrus sinensis (sweet orange)
Lineage: Eukaryota; Viridiplantae; Streptophyta; Magnoliopsida; Sapindales; Rutaceae
Description: long non-coding RNA (CSIN_LNC000959)
Source: RNAcentral
AUUUAUUAGGUGGUUUGCCUCCGUGCCAUCAUCGACCCAACCAAACCGGCUGUACGUUCACUCCGGGACGUCGGCCGGAGCCACGAGCAACAUUCCGGCAAAGCUCGCCAAAGGGUACCCGCAGAGAACAAUUUUCGAGAACCUCGACGACGCCGGGAUUUCCUUCGGAAUAUACUACCAGAACAUUCCGGCCACACUAUUCUACCGGAACCUGAGAAAGAUCAAGUAUUGGGGGAAAUUCCAUCCGUACGGCACGUCGUUCAAGAAAGAUGCGAGGGACGGGAAGCUUCCGGGAUACGUUGUGGUGGAGCAGCGGUACACGGACACUAAGAGCGAGCCGGGCAAUGACGACCAUCCAUCGCAUGAUGUGUACCAAGGACAGAUGUUCGUGAAGGAGGUGUACGAAACCCUGAGGGCCAGCCCGCAGUGGAAUGAGACUUUGUUCGUGAUCACGUACGAUGAGCACGGUGGGUUUUAUGAUCACGUGCCUACGCCCGUCCGUGGGGUGCCCAGCCCCGACGGCAUUGUGGGGCCCGAACCGUUUCUCUUUAAGUUUGAUCGGUUGGGCGUUCGGGUUCCUACCAUUGCGGUCUCUCCUUGGAUUGAAAAGGGCACCGGUGAGUACACGUGAAAAAAAAAAAAAAAAAUCAGCUCACGGCACUCACUCACUCACUCUCACAUAUUCUUAUAUUCAUAUAUAUUCACAUCCACGUUCCUUUCUUCUUCAUGCACAACAAACCCAAAACGCAAAAAAAAAAAUGUUUUCAAAAACGAGCUUUGUUUUCUUAAUCUUGUUUUUAAUUGUUCGCAACAACAAUGUCAUCCAUGCAGGGAGCCCAAUCAAAACCAUCGUGGUGCUGGUGAUGGAGAACCGUUCGUUCGAUCACAUGAUCGGAUGGAUGAAGAAGCUCAACCCCGAAAUCAACGGCGUUGAUGGGUCGGAGUGGAACCCGUUAUCCACAACUGAUCCCAAGUCCCAGCGUUUCUUCUUCAAGAACCAGGCGCAGUUCGUGGACCCUGAUCCGGGCCACUCGUUUCAGGCCAUCAGGGAGCAGAUAUUCGGGUCGAACGACACCUCCUCGGAUCAUCCGCCGAUGAACGGGUUCGCCCAGCAAGCUUUUUCAAUGGACCCGUCUUUGAACAUGUCCCACAAUGUCAUGAAUGGCUUUGAGCCUGAUAUGGUUGCUGUUUACAAGACCCUUGUUUCCGAAUUUGCUGUCUUUGAUAGGUCAGUUUAAAACAGUUUUUAACUUGCACUCGUUUAACUUGUUAGGGGUAAAAUAGUAAUUGACUUUUCCAAAGGUUUAAAUGCAAUUUGAUCUGAGUAGUGUCAAAAUUUUAACAGAAAAAACUUGUCCAAGCAAGCUAUUAAGUGCUUUCCAGACAAAAAGACUAAAAAUUUAGUGCUUUCCAGUUACCAACUUUUGAAAGUUUUGGUGAAAUUCUUUAGAAUUCCUUAAUAAACAACAAAUCAUUUACAUAAAAGUAGUCAGUCAAUCAUAAGGAGACUCGAUUCAGUUUUCUUCUUAAUAGUGUAUGUUAUAUAAAGUCAAAUGCAUAAAUUUCAAUUGAUAUGGUAGCAUGUAAGAAAUUUUGUAAAUUCACGUGUAUAUAUAUAUAUAUUUUUAUGCUAAUAGUAUUCAUGAAUUAUUUAUUAGGUGGUUUGCCUCCGUGCCAUCAUCGACCCAACCAAACCGGCUGUACGUUCACUCCGGGACGUCGGCCGGAGCCACGAGCAACAUUCCGGCAAAGCUCGCCAAAGGGUACCCGCAGAGAACAAUUUUCGAGAACCUCGACGACGCCGGGAUUUCCUUCGGAAUAUACUACCAGAACAUUCCGGCCACACUAUUCUACCGGAACCUGAGAAAGAUCAAGUAUUGGGGGAAAUUCCAUCCGUACGGCACGUCGUUCAAGAAAGAUGCGAGGGACGGGAAGCUUCCGGGAUACGUUGUGGUGGAGCAGCGGUACACGGACACUAAGAGCGAGCCGGGCAAUGACGACCAUCCAUCGCAUGAUGUGUACCAAGGACAGAUGUUCGUGAAGGAGGUGUACGAAACCCUGAGGGCCAGCCCGCAGUGGAAUGAGACUUUGUUCGUGAUCACGUACGAUGAGCACGGUGGGUUUUAUGAUCACGUGCCUACGCCCGUCCGUGGGGUGCCC